AGGUGGUGGAUGUGACUUCCUGUCUGUAGCCCAUGUGACUGAUGAUGACAUCAUUGAGUUUCUCCCUCCCCAUGAGAUAACAGACACACAUGUCAUAAUAAGCAUCACUGGAUUCUCUGCUUAUGGUGAUGUCACAGAUGAGGAUGCUCCCAUCUCCCCCAUACUUGCACAUGUGUUGUUAUUCUACCAACCACUUGGCAAGAGGUCCAUCCUGAAUGUGUUGUUGCUUCCCAGUAAUGUUGUGAGAAAAGAGGUGCGGGAGUUGAUUGAAAGGGAUGGAAUAAGAGAAAUUCUAACAACUUCUCUGUGUACACUUACCCCAAAGCAAGAAUACACCCUCUCCACUAACCCUGCAGAUGCACAUCCAAUACAACCAAACCCAGCAAAAUUUGUGGAUUCCUAUGAAAACUACGUCCCCACAUUUCAGUUGUUUAUUAAACCUGUUGUUGAAGAAGUGAAUCUUCUUCUGGAAGAAAAUAAAGCUGAUAAACUUGUAUGGAACGGACUUAUCUGGCUUCCAGUUACACCACCAGGUGGCGCUACAGCAGGGACAACGAAGGUUCAUUUUCUGCUGAUUAACAUUCUGAAAAAGCUGGACCAAAGCGAC
This is a long non-coding RNA of Salvelinus namaycush (lake trout), 607 nucleotides long. RefSeq lists it as uncharacterized. The transcript has 5 exons. The record is from RefSeq and is a predicted model, not a curated record. Lineage: Eukaryota; Metazoa; Chordata; Actinopteri; Salmoniformes; Salmonidae.